AUGGAGCUCCUAGCUCAUAGUUCUUCUGCCAUUUUGGGGAUUUUGCAUCUGGUUUCUUCAUCAAAAAUUGUAACCGGACCUAGCCAGACAACAGCAAGAUUGAAGAACAGGACUUUCCAGGACUUAUUCCCUCCUCAUAAGCAUCAAUUUGAACAGCAGCUCAUGCACAAGAGCUCCUUCACAAAAGCUGGACAGACCAGGUGUGAGCUUAUAGCACCAGGGUUUAGCACAAAAAAAGGACCAUAGAAGAGGACAGGAAAGAGCACUCAGUUCCUGCCUCAGACUUUUCUCCACCAACCCCGAGCAGCACAGUAUGGAGAUGGGAACACUCGGUCCGGGGAAAGGAGAUGAUAAGCACUAGCAUUUGCCUCCGAUCACAACAGCAAGCCUGCCACCGUCCAACUCAGCACUGGGCAGUCCCGCAUGGCCCCAGGCUCCAGGACUGCACCACAGCCCAGUCCCCAGGCCCAACACCACCAGCUUCAGUCUCUACAGCACAGAGACUUGGUCUCAAGCCUGCCCAGCACCAGGCUGGCCCCAGUGAGCACUGUUGGUAGCAAAGGUGUAGCUACCGCAGAAUACAGAAACGAGCUCCCUCAGUCUCCUACAAAAGGAACUUUUGAGAAUCCAAAAAAAAUUGAAGUCAGGAAAACCUAAGAGAUAUCUACACUGGAUGAGUUCAUUUUACAUGAUUCAACCCUUGCAGCAAUAUGUGUCCGUUUACAGAUGAAUGGGCACACAAAAUAUGGUAUAUACAUACAAUGGGAUACUGUGCAACUUUACAAAAGGAAGAAAUCCUGUCAUACACAACUACUUUAAUGAACUUUGAGGCUCACAGUGUCUGCUCAACAAGUAUAAAGUUUCGGUUGUGGAGGAUGAAUAAAUUCUAGAA
This 892-nucleotide long non-coding RNA is filed under the name Chinchilla lanigera (long-tailed chinchilla). RNAcentral's name for it is "lncRNA (ENSCLAG00000027590.1)". The record is from RNAcentral. Lineage: Eukaryota; Metazoa; Chordata; Mammalia; Rodentia; Chinchillidae.